CUCUGCUCAACUCCCCAGCCUUCCAUGACCCCAUCAGUCUGUGAGAUGCUCUUGCAACCAGCCCACUCUCCCUGUUCAUAAUGCUUCGUGGAGUUGAUAAAGGAAAUUUCAUAGUAUCCUGGAUUUGAAUGAAUCCACAGUCCUCAAGAAGAACUUAUUUAAAGAGAAUCAAGUUUCCUUGUUUUGUGCUUCUUUUAAAACUGCAUUUCUUCAGACAGGUAGCCCAGAUGGUUUCUCAAUGGAAAAUGACUUUUCCCGAAGACAUUCUACCAUAUCUGCAAUGUUUCUAGUGCUUACACAUUUGGGUGAAUGAAUAUCAACUUCAUGGUCAUCUUGGGAACAAGAAGUGUGGAGCCAACUCUUAACUCUGAUGUGAAAUCUCAUUGGCCAGUUGACUGCUUCCAAUAUGGGACAAGUGGGACACCAAUAUUCUGGGAAGGAGUAAACAGUAGCUCCAGAGAGGAGUAGCAAUUAUGGAUAGCGAGGCUGUGUGUGUGGUCUGGAGGGCCUUGCCACACAUAGCAAGGACAUCUGAGGCUCUAGGCCAGGUGUGUCAGCACACCUGAGCUUGUGGCAAGAUUUGGAAAAGAAGGCUGCAAUAAAAAACAAACCCAGGGCCAGCCCAUGGUUUCGCAGGUUUGGAUCCUGGGCGCAGACAUGGCACCACUCAUCAGGCCAUGCUGAGGCGGCAUCCCACAUAACACAACCAGAGGCACUCGCAACUGGAAUAUACAACUACAUACUGGGGGGCUUUGGGGAGAAGAAGGAGGAAAAAAAAAAAGAUUGGCAACAGAUGUUAGCUCAGGUGCCAAUCUUUAAAAAACAACAACAAUCCUCCCCCAGGACUGGCUAGAAUCAUUCUGUCCACACAGGUCUC
This 877-nucleotide long non-coding RNA is filed under the name Equus caballus (horse). RNAcentral's name for it is "lncRNA (ENSECAG00000040391.3)". Lineage: Eukaryota; Metazoa; Chordata; Mammalia; Perissodactyla; Equidae. The record is from RNAcentral.